GAACGGGGCUCUUCACCUCCCACUGUGAAGUCUAUUCUCCCAGCUCCCCACCCAGCACCUCCCACUUCCCUGCUCACUAUGGGUCUUUGAUCUGCUCUCCCUGCUUGGCCCACAGCCUCUCUAAAGCCGCAAGGAAUAGGGGCCACCCAGAGUAUGUGUCCAAGUGACCUUUGAUGAUGUGGCUGGGGACUUCCCCCUGGAGGAGUGGACUUCACUGGACCUCACUCAGAGAAACCUAUCUGGAGAUGUGAUGCUGGAGACCUACAAGAACCUGGCCACAGUAGGAAAGAACAAAAAAAUGGAGGGGAGCUCUAUGAUAAUGUGGAAAUUCUUCAGUGAAUGCUCAUGUCUUAAGACACACAAUAUUAUUCAAAAUAGAGGGAAGAUUUGCGAUGAUGAUCAUUAUGGAAAAGGCUUUCUGAUUCCUCCCAGGAAAACCAAUACCAGAAAGAAACAUUCCGAGCUUAAUGAGUCCAGAAAAGCCAUCAGCCUGACUCCAAAUACUGUGUAACAGAGAAUAUGCGCACAAGGGAUGCCCUUCGAUGCAGUGGCUGUGGGAACGCCUUUGUUAAUCACUCACACCUUCACAUACACAUGAGAACUCACAAUGAAAAAACUACAGAAGGAAUAUGGGAGAUCUUCUAUUCACUCCACAAACUUUCUGUGCAUAUACAAACUCACACCACAAAAAAAUUCCUGUGAAAGUAAAGAAUGUGGAAAAGGCUAUAGGUAUUCUGCCUAGGUUAAUAUUCACAUGUGAUCCCACACUGGAGAGAAGCCCCGUGUGUGUAAGCUAUGUG
RNAcentral lists this long non-coding RNA (800 nucleotides) under Equus asinus (donkey). Its description in RNAcentral is "lncRNA (ENSEASG00005024814.1)". The record is from RNAcentral. Lineage: Eukaryota; Metazoa; Chordata; Mammalia; Perissodactyla; Equidae.